This 206-nucleotide ribosomal RNA is filed under the name uncultured bacterium. Its description in RNAcentral is "partial 16S ribosomal RNA". It matches the Rfam family "Bacterial small subunit ribosomal RNA", at positions 524 to 728 of the family's 1533-position model. The record is from RNAcentral.
UACGAAGGGGGCUAGCGUUGCUCGGAAUGACUGGGCGUAAAGGGCGCGUAGGCGGCUUGUAGAGUCGGGUGUGAAAUUCCUGGGCUUAACCUGGGGGCUGCAUUCGAUACGUAUGGGCUUGAGUGCGGAAGAGGGUCGUGGAAUUCCCAGUGUAGAGGUGAAAUUCGUAGAUAUUGGGAAGAACACCGGUGGGCGAAGGCGGCCAC